UAGAAGUUGCAGCGUUUUGUACAUAGUAGAAGCUUGUCACUCACAUAUUUUGACAUAGAAAUAGAGGGAGAACCAUUUCAAAAAGAGAGAUAGAUAAAAGUGUAGAGAGAGAGAGCAUGGAUGAAGCUGUUAUUGUCACAGGAGAGAUGAUACUGGUUGAUAUAGAUUACUUGUUCUAAACAACCAGUAUCAUCUCGCUGUGACAACAAAUCUUUUCAAUCCUCUCAACCAUCAUCAUCAUUGUCAAAGCCGUAUCGCAACAAAUUGGGGUCGGCCCCUUCGAUCCUCUCAAUGUUGUGUAUUGUUUCUCCAGGCCAAAUCAAUAUUGGUAAAAACAGCAAAGUACUUUAGCUCUUUUUACAAGCUCUUUAUGGUGGUAUUUUCAUUUUCGGAAAGAAGAAAAAGGUGGUACAAGAGAAACUAUUUUUAUCUGUAAUUUCUUCUUUGCGUAGUUCAGCAGUUGGAAACGAAAUUGAGAUGUAGCGCUGCUAAACGCUGUGAAAUCCAAUGCGCAACAGCAAAUCUCUUCGCCUCAUGAUUAGUGCAGUGGCUAGCUUGGACCUUAGGUCGAUAUCCCUGCAUCCUAAUUUCGACAGGGGUCAAGACUCCUGAUAAUUUGUAUGUCAUCAUUCAAUGAUGAACUAAUCUUCCAAUGCAUCGAAAAUGAAUUGAGCGCCCAGCCAUCCGAUGACAACAGCCAAUGGGUGGCCAUAAUCUCGCUGGAACUGUCUAGAAUCUUGUUUGGGACUACUGUACUGCUUGAGGUUUGACGUUCGAGAGCUUGGGAGAGAGAUAAAGGACUGUGAAAGAAGAAAGACGUAAUAAAAGAAAGGGUGCAGUUGGCAUAUGGAUGCAUCCGUAGCUGUAGAGAUCUGAGCUACUCUCAGACAGUGUGUGAUGAAGUUGACAACAAGACUAAAGACGCAUGUGGAUGGAUAAGACAAAGUAUAUAAUUACAAAAGAGAGAUAAAAAGGGUGAAUCUAAAUCACAGAUCGAAGACAAGGUUCAUGAUGACACCUGCUAGCCAUCUAAUCCGAAUGUAAUAUCAACAAGAGAUUGAAUGUAUUGAAUGGUGAAAUGCUUGAAAGUUCAAGUACUACUCCCACACAUUGGUUUUGAAUGGACAAGGAAGUGUAGGUUGAUUUCCUACAAAAUAUGAAUCACUGGUUGCUUGAUUUGUACAAAUUAACGAGAGAAGGCUUUUCCAACCUGCAUGCUACAUUGCAAGCAUCACUUACAUCUACCGUUGCCAUGGCUCAGUAACUCCGGAAAGAAAUUCACAGGUAUUCGAGGGAGUCUCAAAUGGUUGAGAUGAGAUCUCUUGGGGGAUGAUGAAGUUGAUAGUUCUCUGGGCUCAAGCAUCAUCGUGUUUCAAAAGCUACCCAAAAGAGUUCUUCACUACCAAAUUUGUAGUGUUAAUCUCACAUCAACCACACAAAAUGGUUAAAUCCUCUCAGUGGAUCCCCCUUCAGUUGGCUGGCUAAACUUAAACUUUGAUGGCCAUGUUAGAUCCGAGACUCAAAAAGCUCGUUAUAGUGAGAUUGUUAGGGAUUACCGGGAAUAUAAUCUUCUCCUAUUUUGGGGAUCUUACCUUUUGUGACAUCAGUGAGGCAGAAUUGACGGUGGUCAAAAAAGAUAUCUCUCGGAUUCAGAAUGAUCAUAACUGCAGUAUUAUUGAAGGAGACUCAGCCAAUGUUAUCAAAUGGUGCACCCACCCACCCUCUAUUCCUUGGCAAUGGACCUCCAUUUUGGAUGAAAUUAUAUUGGCUAUCUCUGCCAAGGAAUUCCAUUUAUGCUACAUUAACAGAGAAAAAAAUGGCGUUGCUGAUGCUCUCGCGAAAUUAGCUACUUCCUAAGCCCUCUUCUUUCUCUCUUUCCUUUUUUCUUUCUCUCUUUUCCUAUGUUUUUUUUUUUUUGCCAUGAAAUUUCUCAUU
Molecule: long non-coding RNA, 1935 nt
Organism: Amborella trichopoda
Lineage: Eukaryota; Viridiplantae; Streptophyta; Magnoliopsida; Amborellales; Amborellaceae
Source: RefSeq, a predicted model, not a curated record